Molecule: long non-coding RNA, 618 nt
Organism: Cavia porcellus (domestic guinea pig)
Lineage: Eukaryota; Metazoa; Chordata; Mammalia; Rodentia; Caviidae
Exons: 3
Source: RefSeq, a predicted model, not a curated record
GAUGUUUCCAGAGAACACCAGCAUGUGAUACAGCAAGCAGAGCAAAGACCUGCCCGGAUGUGGGUAGCACUUUCUGAUGGGAGAAGGCCUAAAUGGACCAAAAACAGAAGGAGGAGGAAACCCACCAGCACAUGCUCUCUUCCCUCUGCUUGCUUCUUGGCUGCCAUUAGGAAUUCAAAACAAAACUAUACAUCAGCAAAAGAUUUUCAAAAACUGCUGCAUAAAUGAAGAAAGAAAUACUUUCACGUACUUUGCAUGGGAAUCUUGUCUUUCAAUGCAGAGUACUUAGUCUCCACAUGGCAAUGCAUUUUGGAAGAUUUCCUGGCCAUACUGGAUGGCUGGUCACCACCUAUACUAUACGUUUGGAGAACAUUAAUCACCCAGUGCAAUGAUUCAUUAUGUAGGUAAGACUCUUGGUGGGUUUUUUUCCAAAUUUUUUCUUUGACAAUACCAGAGUCUCUUGCUAUUUCAUUAUUCAGCCUUCCAUGAGUUCUAAAACUCUUCAGUGAUUUUCUAAAAUUAAUUUUGGUUAUGGUUAGUUAUGGUUUUGCCAAAACUGUGACUGUGACCUAUGUACAGUGUGGAAACAGGGAGCUGAUGAAGGUGGUAAACAAAAUA